UUCUGCUGCAAAAAUAAAGUAUUUUGACAAUUUAGAAAGACUGAAAUAUUCAAGCAAAGAUUUUCCUUCAAUGUGUGAAGUAGUCAUCAUAAAAGAAAUCAACAGAUUGAAAAUACCAUUUCAGAAAACCCAGGGAGAGUAUUAUAGCAGCAAAACUGCAUUUAAAUAGCAUGUAGCUCCAAGACUUGAAGAGAUUUAUGUGUCGUAAUAUGCACAAAUGCCUUUCUCUUCAUCAUUAAAAGACAGAGCUAAGAGUUAAUGGAAAAGCAUAUGGACUAUUACUGAAGAGAAGACUGCUAAAUAGGACAUCUGGAUUAAGUUAUUUUCUUAGACUUCUUGUGUUUAGCAGUGAUAUAACAGGUGCUCUUAGCUUUUCUUUGCAAUGGGUACUCCCGCACAUUUAGAGGACUUAAAAGAAAAAUUUAUCUCCAGAAAAUAAAAUUUCAUAAAGUGAAUUUUGAAAUCCUUGUUUUCAGACAUUAGUAAAAUACCAUUCUGAAACUCAGAAUAGAUUUCAAUUAAAUCUUCUAGAAGCCAGUAUCUUCUGCUCUUUUUAGUAUGAGCAACUUCCACUAAACCUAGGCAUUAAAUGUAGAAAGAAAGAGAUGCAGAACUGAAUGCUACUGCUUGUUUCUAGGUUAAUACAGAAAGGAAGAUAUGGACUAAUGCAUGAUAAAGGACCAGUAUGCAGAUUGGCAUAGACACGUGAAGGCUGCAACACAUCAGAUUCAUCUGGUUUUAGCCACUAACAAACCUGCCUGUUCAUUCCUCUAGAUCAGGAAUGAAGUAUUAGAUGCAAAUGUUUGUAUAUAUUUAAGAACUGUAUUUUUAUUAAUGAAGAAGCAUUACUUUCUCAGCAUAAACAGAAAAAUAACAAUAUAUUUCACUUUCAGUUAAAUAUUCUCACAUAAAUAGAAUUACCUUUAUUAAUAUGUUUUCUGGUUUCACAUCUCUGUGAAAUAUCCCAUUUCUGUGCCAAUAUAAACAGAUCAGAGAGAAGAGUUCAGUGAAAAGAUAAAAAUUAUCAGUGCUUCCAGUUAUUUUAAAAAAAUAAAUAUAUAAAGAGUAAAGCAACUAACACUCUUUCAGCCUUAUCAACAGCAUAGUAAAAAAAUGAAUUUUACCACCAUGGUUGUACAACAGCUACAGGAAUGGGGAAAGGGUCAGUUGAGGAAGGUGUCAAGCUAUCUGGUGUUGCUCUCAGCAGGGUUAGAAAAGGAUGGAAAGGGCCCCCUGCUCCCAGCAGGGCUCCUGCACAAAGAGCAGAGCUCCCAUGGGGUGCUGUGCAGCACUGGCUGCCAGCUUGCUGACUUCCAGGGCUCUGCUACAGGCAAAGAAAUACCUGGGCAAUGGCCUUUUUUCACCCUGCAGCAGUCUGCUGCCUCACGUUAUACACAGCUGCUUAGAGAUGGCCCUGAAAUAGAUGUAUGAUGUACUGUAAAGCUGUUGCCGAAGCAGGUCUCUUACCUAUGUAUGUGAUCAAGAGAUUGGCAUAACUGAUACAUGUAGUUCUUUAUUUUUUUUUCAGGUAAUGGCUUUCUCCUUCCUAGAAUUAAAUUUCAAGUUGUACAAGUCCUUUUUAACACACAACAGAAUACAAAGAAAAAAAACAUCUUCAGCUUCCAACUGAUAUUACCUUUUUCAAUUAUACUAUUUCGGUCAUUUAUAGCUAGCUUUGCAAUUCAUUUUCCACUCAAAUUCAGACAUAAUUUAAAUUUCAGUAUGCACCAGAAUAGUUCAGCUAACAUAGCUGUCAAUUCAGUAGUCUAUAAACUGCCUUAGCUUUUACUGUGUGUUUUUCUUGCAAUAUCUGUCUCGAAGUUCUAAUAGAACUGGAAUAUAUCACUUCCAAAUCUCUCAUUUCCUUUCCAAAAAAAAAGGAACAGGCCGUAAGGUUCAAGAUUCCUAUCCAUCACCUCAAAUUAGUGCAAUGCUUAAAUAACUGUGAUUCACAAUUGAGCUGGAAAUUACAGGUUAACCUAGGUAGUUUAGCUUGCUAUUGCAGUUGUGCAAUAACCAUAGUUAUAACAUUUACCUGUUUUUCAGAGCCCUAAAGUACCUACACAGCUUUUUUUCUUUUACAGGCUCCAAAGGCCUUUUAAUCUUGCUGUAAUGCCUUUAUGUAAUGCUGCAAUGUCAUCAACAGUGGCAGAAGUGAUCACAUUUCUGAAAACCAGAACAGGUAACUACUGAAAUCUGGAGCAGAUGCUUUUCUACUUUCAGCUUUAUCACCAUACAAAUCUCAUUUGGAAGUCAUUAUGAAUUGAAUUUAAGACUACAAUAAUUUUUUCUUCAGGCCAUCUUCCCCACAUCUCUUGAGCCUUAUUUUUUUUUUUUAUCACUUUAAAUGACCAAACUGUUCUUGAUUAAACAAAAGGCAAGAUCGUUUUUCAGUUAUGAAAUGACUUGUGGUACUACUACAAAUUAAUAGUUACAGAAUUAUGACUUCGUGUACAGACAAAUAGCUUUAGUUGAAAUAAGAUGAAUCUGUUGCCAGUAUAAUAAAGGGGUUAAAAAAAAGGAUCAACAUUAGGCAUUACAAUGAACUGGCCUCCUAAUUAAGAGUGUCUUCAUUCACCUUGAUAAACUAGAAAUUAAUUUACAAUCAAUCCCUAUUUUUCUUCACUACAAAAUUUUGUACAAACCAUGCUUGCCUUUAAAUUUUUCUAACUUAAAGCUUUUUUUAAAUUGUCCUGCACCUUUUUUGAAUUUAAUUUUGCAAGAUUCAGAGUAUUCAGAAAAUGGCAGAGAUUUAUAUUACUAUAUACUGUAGAAAUAUACAAAAGACUACAAACUGUCUGUAACGUAACUACUUCUGUACACUCUGAAAACUGUUUUCAGACAGAGCAUCGCCAAUACACACAAUUUAGUUGUUCUAUAAAUUAACACCGCACUCCUUUAAAUUGUAACCCUGAAAAUUCAAAAGCAGCUCCUAUUUUCCAUUGUUACCCAGAUAUCCCCGGUCAAUAAGUGUUCUGGCUCAGAAUUGAGAUUAAUUUUCCAAUUUAAAUAUGAACUCAGAAUUUUUGCCAAAUAAUUAUUCUUUUAAAUAAGCUGCCACAUCUUAUAUUUCUCGACUUUGCAGUAAGCCAUAAAUAGAGUUGUCUGGGAGAGAUUUUUUAAAAAAAUAAAUCUUAUUUCUGCCCCAUAAGAAAUAGUCCUUUUGACACUUUGUAGGGUGAGAAAGGGGCUGUGGUGGAGUUCAGCUGCCUGGCAAGGUAAAACUACCACGUACUUAGGCCUGCUUUGAAACCAUCAGAAUUAAUUCCUGAAAAAAAAGCAGCUGGAAAACAGUCUUCCUAUGGAAAAUCUUCCUAGGAGUUUGAUAAGAACUGUAUAUUAAAAUUAAAAACGCAGAAUAUACUGAAACUAUUAGGCAGGUUUCCAUCUGUGUACAAGGUUUAAUAUAGCUGGUUUUGUCACAUGAAAAGAACAAGAGAAACAUUGAGAAAUGUAUACCAACUGAAAUUUGGUGUUUUGGAUUUAUUUUUAAAGGCAGUUAAAGAGCAAAUCUAAACAUUCUGAUUUUCCAUAAGUGAAGUAUAGUAUCUUUCCUAGAAAAAGCUACAGGAUUGUUUUUAAUGCGCUGGACUAAUUCACUGUCAAUGAGGGCUCCUUCCUAUAUUCUACUACUCGCUCUGACUUAAUAACUUCACAAACUGAUCACGGAAAAAUAAAAAGCAGCAAUUAUUCAUAGCUGAAUCUACAGAGUCAAGCAAGUGUAUUUUAAUCUCAGCUCUUUAUCUAGGUCAGAAUAGGGUUACUACUUUUGUUAGAGAUCUGAAUACUCAAUGUCAUGAACAUAAUGUUGAGAGCAAGUCUUUAUUCCACUGCACAGAAUAUCAUCAGUUGCAUGCUGAGUUACGGAAAUGAAUCUCCCAGCCCUGAAGACAUUACAAAUUUUUAAUUAUUAAAAAAAAUCCUCUUUUACUAUUGAAAUUGAAAGUGCUCCUCCAUUUAUUGUAUCCAACUCCUUUUGUUUCUGUAAGAGAUCUGUUUUUAAAUUAGCUUUUGUUCUAAACCUUUCUGUAGGAACUUUUCCUUAAGAUUUAUGGUCUUCCACCUGCCUUGACCAACAUCUCCAGAAUUCUUAAAUUUAGGUGCUUUCAGUGAACUAUGUUAUUUUAUAAAGAAAGCUUGGUUAAAGGCACUUUACUGGACACAAAAAUUGAAAAUCAUUAUUCAUCGAUUCAGUAGUCUUUGAAACAAAUGGGAAUAAUCUUCGAGUUGUUUCGUUAUAGUCCUGACUUAACAAGAGCCUGUUUAAGUUAUUUUUGUUAUAUAAGGUAAUAGUUUUGUAGAGAAGAUUGUUUCCCUGUUUUCAAGUGACUGUAGAAACAGAUCGCCAUUGACCUGACCCCUUAGAAAGCUUCUGCAUGCAUCCAUGCUUUAAACUGGGUAUUUUGCACUGGAAAUUAAUAUAGAAUGAAGCGGUACAGCAUAAAAAAUCAUUAAAAGUUUCAUAAUAUGUAACAGUGAAUAACCUUGUGCAAUACAGUUAAUUCCACUUUGCGAUCUGCAGAAGGAGGGGUUGUCUGCUUAAGCACAUGCUACAUACCUUUUAUCAGCUCAUAAAUAUUCAUGUCCAUAAGUUCACAUAUCAGUGAAAGAGAGCCGGCUUUUUUAUCACUGAAGAAACAAAUUAGGAGACUUUAAGAUACCUGAUUUACUCGUGAAGGUAUUUGAAUGCAUGUUUUCUGAGUAUGUGACGCUGUUCAGUAUCAGGAAAUUUCCAGUAAAUUAAAUGGUACAAUGUUACAAUAAUAUAGAGGAAACAUUAUGCCAGACAUGAAACACUUUCUCUCUUGGUCAUUACUAUCAGUGGAAAUGGGUACCUGACUGUGACUGGAAUCUCUGUUUUGUUGACAAUAGCAGUUUUAAGCGUUAUCAAGAUACGAUUAUAUAUCUGACACCUUAUUUUCCAUUUCAUUGCCCUGCAGAGGCAGAUAUCUUUAGGUCCACAGUUUUUCUAAGAAGAAGGUAAUUGAAUUAAAGUACACCCCCUCUACAAUGCUCCAUUAACCCAGACAACAAAAGGUUGUGGGUACAAUUUACAAUCCAGUUUACAGACAGUGAAAGAGCCAGGCGAGCUGGCUGGCCAUCUGGGUUACACUUGGUUAACAACACGGCAGCCGAAGCUGGCAAUUCCAGAAAGCUGAGCUGCUGCCACGAUUACCAGCUUUUUAUGCAUUUGUGCUAAAUGGGUCUGCUGAUAACAGUACAGUACCAGAAGCUGGAGCAGAGGAAUUGCUGGAGAGCUAGAAAAAAUGUUUUAGGCAUUCAACAAGUUUUGUGCCAAGUACUCAGAAUAAUGAACUACUUGUCUCCUGUUACAUAGUGAGGAAGUAUAGCACAGCAGUGGAGUAAAUGCUGUCAUAAAACUCAAACUUUGUGAGGCCUCAGAAGACACUUAAGUGCCAAAUGUGUCUAGAAGGAGCCCGACUCCAUCACCGACUGAUCUCUCUUCAAAUGCGUACCUCAGCUGCUGCCUAGUUCAGAGGUCUAAACUUCUAUUAUUUGCAAAGGGGUAUCUACACAGUUGCUGCUUUGCCUGGAUGCCUACUUCAACCUGCCAGGCCAACCCAAAAGCCCAGUAGUUCCAGGGCCCAUUUCAGCAAAUAAGCUAUGAGUGUGCCUAACCAAAAUAGUCUCCAGUAGACGUGACACCAUGCAUUAAAGCACUCCCUGGAUAUCGGAUGUGGGUUCAAAUCACCAGCAAGUAUUAUGUAUUAUGCCAUGAAGUUUAGCGAUGCUUAAAAUAUAUCUAGUCUGUCAUUUUAAUAAGGAUGUUGAAGUGUUUUUCAGUCUGCUACAGAAGAGUCAGAGCAAUAACAGAUCACCUUUUCUUAACCAAACAAAAAAAAGGCACAAUGACUUUAGAAUGUGGCAUAUCUGCUGUUUUUUCUUUCUUGUUGGUCAAGUUCCUACAGGUUGCCUCUAGGUCUAAAAGUUACUAGAUCUUGUUCAAAUAAAGGGUUAAGGAAGAAGUGAAUGCACCAUACUUACAAAACAACUUCAUGUAACAUAAGGAUAUUAGGAUGUGGACUCAACCUCCUUAGUGCUUGUAUUUCGCUCAGAUUAUUCACUUGUUCAAUACUAAAAUUGAAUUAAAAAAAAAAAAGAAAAAAGAAAGAAAAAGAAGACUGAUUUGCAAUCAGGGACUAGAUUAUAAUUGUCUUUCUCCCCUGCCAUGAGACAGUCAGAACCCACUCCAUUUCAGUCUGAAAUUGAACUUCCAAAUGCAGGACCUGCUUUGUUUCUUUAUAGAACAAGUCAGUAAAGAGGAGAAUGGCUUUAUUCCUCCCUGCAGUCCAGAGCAGCUGGACUUACCUAGACAUGAUUAGUAAGGCAUUUUGCUCCAGAUGCCAGCUACCAUGCCAAGCUGCUAUCUGGAAGAACUGUGUGUCACCUACCAGUACGGAUCAUACAGGUCAUUCUGAGCUGGUGUCGCAUACAUACCAAUUAUUGCUCAGCACGAUGCUGAAAGUGACGGUCUAGCCUUGCCAAAUGUAAUACUUAAAAUUAAGUUUUAAUGAUAAGCAAUUGCAUGAAAAAUGGAUACCAUUCAACUGGUGUUUAAAUAUUAAGUUGCCCUCUUAGACUUUAAUAAACAACAAAACUGCAUGCAAUAGAAA
Molecule: non-coding RNA, 6635 nt
Organism: Anas platyrhynchos (mallard)
Lineage: Eukaryota; Metazoa; Chordata; Aves; Anseriformes; Anatidae
Source: RefSeq, a predicted model, not a curated record